RNAcentral lists this ribosomal RNA (237 nucleotides) under uncultured Staphylococcus sp. Its description in RNAcentral is "partial 16S ribosomal RNA". It matches the Rfam family "Bacterial small subunit ribosomal RNA", at positions 103 to 334 of the family's 1533-position model. Lineage: Bacteria; Bacillati; Bacillota; Bacilli; Caryophanales; Staphylococcaceae. The record is from RNAcentral.
CGGGUGAGUAACACGUGGAUAACCUACCUAUAAGACUGGGAUAACUUCGGGAAACCGGAGCUAAUACCGGAUAAUAUUUUGAACCGCAUGGUUCAAAAGUGAAAGACGGCCUUGCUGUCACUUAUAGAUGGAUCCGCGCUGCAUUAGCUGGUUGGUAAGGUAACGGCUUACCAAGGCAACGAUGCAUAGCCGACCUGAGAGGGUGAUCGGCCACACUGGAACUGAGACACGGUCCAG